CCUACGGGUGGCUGCAGUGGGGAAUAUUGGACAAUGGGGGCAACCCUGAUCCAGCCAUGCCGCGUGUGUGAAGAAGGCCCUCGGGUUGUAAAGCACUUUCAGCGAGGAAGAACGCCUGGUGGUUAAUACCCAUCAGGAAAGACAUCACUCACAGAAGAAGCACCGGCUAACUCCGUGCCAGCAGCCGCGGUAAUACGGAGGGUGCGAGCGUUAAUCGGAAUUACUGGGCGUAAAGCGCGCGUAGGUGGCUUGAUAAGCCGGUUGUGAAAGCCCCGGGCGCAACCUGGGAACGGCAUCCGGAACUGUCAAGCUAGAGUGCAGGAGAGGAAGGUGGAAUUCCCGGUGUAGCGGUGAAAUGCGUAGAGAUCGGGAGGAAUACCAGUGGCGAAGGCGGCCUUCUGGCCUGACACUGACACUGAGGUGCGAAAGCGUGGGUAGCAAACAGGAUUAGAUACCCCAGUAGUC
This 465-nucleotide ribosomal RNA is filed under the name Vreelandella stevensii. Its description in RNAcentral is "partial 16S ribosomal RNA". It matches the Rfam family "Bacterial small subunit ribosomal RNA", at positions 338 to 795 of the family's 1533-position model. The record is from RNAcentral. Lineage: Bacteria; Pseudomonadati; Pseudomonadota; Gammaproteobacteria; Oceanospirillales; Halomonadaceae.